Molecule: ribosomal RNA, 963 nt
Filed under: Triticum aestivum (bread wheat)
Lineage: Eukaryota; Viridiplantae; Streptophyta; Magnoliopsida; Poales; Poaceae
Description: partial small subunit ribosomal RNA
Source: RNAcentral
AUGUCCGGCCCUGACCUACGAGGCCGGUGGAUGCCCUCCUCCAUCAUGGAAGAGCAUGUGCUAAAGCUGAGAGACGCCAGGUACUUAACGUACGAGAUUUCGCGUAGGCUGCCUGCCCGAGGGCAAGUUAUUCCGACUCCCGAACUUGGUGAGAGCGUCGUGUUUGUGUCUCACCUCCGUCGGGGUUUAGGCUUCCCGACGGAUCCCUUCGUGAGGGGGCUCAUGUUUUACUAUGGGCUGGAAUUCCAUGACUUGGCUCCGGAGUCCAUCGUCCACAUCUCAUCAUUCAUUGUCGUCUGCGAAGCCUUCCUCCGCACUACCCCUCACUUCGGCUUGUGGCUCAAAACCUUCAACUUGCAGCCUAAGAUGAUUGAGGGGCGUCAGGCAGAGUGCGGCGGGGCAGUUAUAAGCAAGAGGGCCAAUGCUCCAUGGCCCGAGGGCUCUUUUCAGGAGGAGCUCGGCUUGUGGCAACAGGAGUGGUUCUAUAUCACCGUUCCCAGGGGCAGCAGGCAGAGGCCGCCGCCCGUCUUCUGCCCGAGCCCUCCACAACAGCUGACGUCAUGGGUCAACAAGGGGCGUGACUGGGGGCCGUCCAAAGACGUACCCCUGUUGCAGGACCGGAUUCAAGGCCUCCAAGAAAGGGAGAUCAAUCUGGUCGCAAUGGUACAAGUUAUGUUGAUCCGGCGCCUACUGCCCUGCAAACGUCGCCCCCUCCGCCUGUGGGAAUUUAAUCCGGAGGGACCACGAGCUCUUCAACACUUCAUGGGUUUGACACCCGUGGAGAUGUAUAAACUGUUCUUCGGAUCGCAAGAGAUGCAUCCGGAAUUGACCGAGGAUGCUGGCCUAAGCUGCAAUCGCCCGGAUACCCAAGUAAGUAGACCCGUGUUCGGACACAUCGUCCAUUUAUUUAUCGUGGGUUUGCCUUUUAACCAGCUAUCCCUUGGACAGGAGUGGAUAGCGUAA